GACGAACGCUGGCGGCGUGCCUAAUACAUGCAAGUUGAGCGCUGAAGGUUGGUACUUGUACCAACUGGAUGAGCAGCGAACGGGUGAGUAACGCGUGGGGAAUCUGCCUUUGAGCGGGGGACAACAUUUGGAAACGAAUGCUAAUACCGCAUAAAAACUUUAAACACAAGUUUUAAGUUUGAAAGAUGCAAUUGCAUCACUCAAAGAUGAUCCCGCGUUGUAUUAGCUAGUUGGUGAGGUAAAGGCUCACCAAGGCGAUGAUACAUAGCCGACCUGAGAGGGCUAGCGGCUACACUGGGACUGAGACACGGCCGCAACGCCUAUGAGAGGCCGCAGUAGGGAAUCAUUGGCAAUGGAUGAAAGUCUGACCGAGAAACGCCGCGUGAGUGAAGACGGAUUUCGGAUCCUAAAAAGCGGUUGGUAGAGGAGAACGUUGGGGAUCGUGGAAAGCGCAGCAAGUGACUGUAACUACCCAGAAAGGGACGGCUAACUACGUG
This 497-nucleotide ribosomal RNA is filed under the name uncultured bacterium. Its description in RNAcentral is "partial 16S ribosomal RNA". It matches the Rfam family "Bacterial small subunit ribosomal RNA", at positions 28 to 507 of the family's 1533-position model. The record is from RNAcentral.